Molecule: non-coding RNA, 144 nt
Organism: Podarcis lilfordi (Lilford's wall lizard)
Lineage: Eukaryota; Metazoa; Chordata; Lepidosauria; Squamata; Lacertidae
Source: the annotation of a GenBank genome assembly
GUGAGAGAGAGAGAGAGAGAGAGAGAGAGAGAGAAACUUUGCAAAGGCUGUAGAUGAGGAGGGAGGAUUGGAGAGGGGGAGGAGAGAGGGAGGGAAGGAGGGGAGGCUUCUCUCUCUCUCUCUCUCUCUCUCUCUCUCUCUCUC